CGAGUUCCCGUACGAUCACCGAAGUUAAGCAACGUCGAGCCUGGUCAGUACCUAGUUGGGCAACCGCUUGGGAAUACCAGGUGCUGUAAG
This 90-nucleotide ribosomal RNA is filed under the name Acanthosepion pharaonis. Lineage: Eukaryota; Metazoa; Mollusca; Cephalopoda; Sepiida; Sepiidae. The record is from RNAcentral.